GAUCUCUCCGGCUCGCCGCUCUCCUCCCGCCCGUCCUUCACUCCGCCGCUCCAAAAACCCCCUUCCUCCGCCGCUCCAAAAACCCCCUUCCUCCGGCCCGAUCUCCCUGGCAUGCCCCUCCCCGUGGCGUGGCCCCCGUUCUUUUCCACUUAAACCCCAGUCGGUGUGCGCUCCCCCUCCCCCCGAUCUCCCCGACGUUCCCCUACCCCUCCGGAUCUCCUCCACUCCAAUACCCCCAGCCGAUCGACGUCUUCCUCCUUAGUGCCCGGCCCCCACCCUCAACCCCCCUCCACCGGCGGUAAGGAACUGAAGGCGGUCAUAUAUAUGACCAAUCAGUCGCUUUCUUGGUUCAACCAAGGAAUGGGCUGUACUAGUUUGAGCAAGAAGAAAGUGAAGGGUGCUUGUGCUUUGAAUUCCAUGAAUCACGCUCACCAGCCAUGUGACAAUUGCAUAAUAUAAGGUUUGAAUGGUGAUUUAGAGAUAUGAGCAAUCUAGCACAUUCAGAGAUAAUUUCUUUCAUUAAAAACUAAUUAUAUACAUUCAUUUGCACUAUCAAAAUAAAUGUUUAUAUUGGUCAAUACAAUAUGACUUUGCCGCUGCAGCCAUCCAGAUAUUGUUCUUUUUCUUGUGUUAAGUGCAGUAAUUUACAGAUAGUUAUACAAGACAUGCUAAAUGUGGAACAAACAUUUCAUUCAUUCCUAGAGCUUGGUACCAAUACACAAGUAGCAUUAUAAAGUUACAUAUCACACAAACCAAAUGAUAAAAUUUUAGCCCACAUGUGCCUGUUGUACAAUUGCAGACCCUGAGAACGUAACAGUAUUUACCUACCUUUUUAGUUACAGAAUGCAACAAAGAUGCCACAAAAAUAGCCUUACACAUCAAUAAGUUUCACUAGACUAGUUGUUUAGUGACAUUUUCCUUAAGAAAAUGCAAUGAGGAGAGCUUGAUUGGGAAACAGUAAUUUUGUAAGUAUGUUAUACUUUUUUUUAUUUUUUAACUGCUUAUAUCUUUGUAAAGGGAUGGUAGCCUACUUCAUUUCAAUACAUUAUGUGCAAUCCUCUUGAUAUUUUUUGUUUCCACUUGCUCUGGCAAUGUAUUGAAACUGUGAGGUUAAUGCAAUAUUGAAACUGGCUGUAAUCCAAUCGUAAUAGCUGCAUGGUGAUUAAUGGUGAACAUGCAUAUGUCUACAUAAUCUAAUGUGCAUUGAGGCAUUUUAAUUUAUUUGCACACAAACAUCAUCUUGUAGUCAUGCAAAAUUCUUCAUAAGAUCUGAACUGACAAGCAUUCAGACAGAUAAAUACACCAAAAUGUCUCUCCUUGCACAAAAUUAGUUUGGCAUAUCACUCUUGUUUGAAAUCCACAUAUGAGUAGUUCAUCAAAAUCUUUUGUAUGGUGAAGGAAAAGUAUGCAGUGUAUUGAAAAGCAUUAAUAUCAUGAUUGUUUUGAAACUUGAAGGAAACUUCAAUCAAAAUAUUUUUUUUUUAUGAAUAUUUUUACUACAACUUUCGUUUGGGCUUUGUUUUUAAAAAAAAAACAUGAUUGGGUAGGAAGCAUGCUAGGCAUGUCUUUUCAUGUAAAUUAAGAUUCUAGUCUAGAAAUAUAAUUGGAUGAAGAUUUAAGAUGGAUAUGUGCAAUGUCUAUAUAAAGAGAUGAAUAAAGGGAUUGGUGAUAAUGAAGCCUAGAGAAACAGAAGGGUACAUACUUGUUUGCAUGUAGCGAAACACAGCUCAGGUAACAUGGUUGUCUCUUUCUGUGUUCUCUCUCUUUUCUUCCCUGGAUGAGAGGCCAUUGAGACCAUUCCCAUAACAUAAUGAUGAUUCUUUUUUUAAUUAUAAUUACACUUAUUAGAGACUAUUCUCAAAAAUGGAGAUUGGUGAAAAUCUGAACCAACGGUGGACGUCUUGUAUUUAAGAAAGUAAUAUUUAAAAAAAAUAAAUAAAUCUUCAGAUAAUUAUUUUUUUUCCACCAAAUGAUCCUUCAAAUUAUUCUUUAAUCAAAUGUAUCAAGAAAUAUUCAGUUAUUCCAUGUACUAUUUACCGAUAUUACAAUUUAUUUACUUGACAAGUAUUUUGAAUGAGUGUAUACAAAUUUUAAACUACAGUUAUUAUGUAUGAUCAUUGACAAUGUUCUUUUUUUCAUCAUUUAUUAUGUUUAGCUUCUCCCAAAUUUGAUUUCAUAUGAAUUUAUUCUUUUUUGAUAUUUAUAAAAAAAUUAUUGUAUAUGGUUUUCAGGGAAUACAUAACGAUAACAAUAUCAGUGGAUAGUAGUUACAGAUAAAAGUUGGAUUGAUUUGUGAGCAAAGACUUCACCUACGUACAUUGAGGGGGUCAAUAAAUUUUUGCACUUUGCAUAUGCUAAUCAGAUAGAUGAUGUAAAGAUUUAUUGUCCGUGUAAGAAAUGUAAAAAUCAUUUUUUUGAGGACCGGCAUAUAGUGAAACAACAUAUUAUUACAAAAGAUUUCUGGACGACAUAUAAGAUUUGGACUUAUCAUGGAGAGACGUACUAUUCUACUAGGUCUAACCAAGACCGUGGAAGUAAAGAUUUUUUUGAUACGGAAGAUGCAUCUAGUGCUCACCAAACACAUGCAUCGGAAAAUGAGAGAUUCACUCAGGUGCCUGAUGAGGUUAAUAGAUGUUGCUAUUAUUAAUUUAAGUGUUUCUUGUAAUUCAUUCGUGUCAAAUUGCCAUACAUGUUUGUAUGUUAAUAGAUUUUCUUUUUGUUGCAUAUAAUAUACAAGGAUGACUCUUUCACCACUUCGAAAUUCGAUGCAAACUCAUGUGUUUUCUGCGGUCAAGUUCAGGUACAAAUCCAUGAAGACGAAGCAAGCAAAUUUUUUAUUCCGUUUUGCUUUUUAUUGUAUUUUGGACAAUGGAUAUGUAUUUGAAUACUUAUGUUAUAUUUGAGCAAUGGAUAUUGUAUUUUGGACAAUGCAUUUCAAGUUUUUUUUGGUUGAA
This is a non-coding RNA of Elaeis guineensis (African oil palm), 2954 nucleotides long. The record is from RefSeq and is a predicted model, not a curated record. NCBI's taxonomy places the organism in Eukaryota, Viridiplantae, Streptophyta, Magnoliopsida, Arecales, Arecaceae.